AUGAGAAGCUUGCUUCUCUGAUGUUAGCGGCGGACGGGUGAGUAACACGUGGGUAACCUACCUAUAAGACUGGGAUAACUCCGGGAAACCGGGGCUAAUACCGGAUAAUAUUUUGAACCGCAUGGUUCAAUAGUGAAAGACGGUUUCGGCUGUCACUUAUAGAUGGACCCGCGCCGUAUUAGCUAGUUGGUAAGGUAACGGCUUACCAAGGCGACGAUACGUAGCCGACCUGAGAGGGUGAUCGGCCACACUGGAACUGAGACACGGUCCAGACUCCUACGGGAGGCAGCAGUAGGGAAUCUUCCGCAAUGGGCGAAAGCCUGACGGAGCAACGCCGCGUGAGUGAUGAAGGUCUUCGGAUCGUAAAACUCUGUUGUUAGGGAAGAACAAAUUUGUUAGUAACUGAACAAGUCUUGACGGUACCUAACCAGAAAGCCACGGCUAACUACGUGCCAGCAGCCGCGGUAAUACGUAGGUGGCAAGCGUUAUCCGGAAUUAUUGGGCGUAAAGCGCGCGUAGGCGGUUUCUUAAGUCUGAUGUGAAAGCCCACGGCUCAACCGUGGAGGGUCAUUGGAAACUGGGAAACUUGAGUGCAGAAGAGGAGAGUGGAAUUCCAUGUGUAGCGGUGAAAUGCGCAGAGAUAUGGAGGAACACCAGUGGCGAAGGCGGCUCUCUGGUCUGUAACUGACGCUGAUGUGCGAAAGCGUGGGGAUCAAACAGGAUUAGAUACCCUGGUAGUCCACGCCGUAAACGAUGAGUGCUAAGUGUUAGGGGGUUUCCGCCCCUUAGUGCUGCAGCUAACGCAUUAAGCACUCCGCCUGGGGAGUACGACCGCAAGGUUGAAACUCAAAGGAAUUGACGGGGACCCGCACAAGCGGUGGAGCAUGUGGUUUAAUUCGAAGCAACGCGAAGAACCUUACCAAAUCUUGACAUCCUUUGACCGCUCUAGAGAUAGAGUCUUCCCCUUCGGGGGACAAAGUGACAGGUGGUGCAUGGUUGUCGUCAGCUCGUGUCGUGAGAUGUUGGGUUAAGUCCCGCAACGAGCGCAACCCUUAAGCUUAGUUGCCAUCAUUAAGUUGGGCACUCUAGGUUGACUGCCGGUGACAAACCGGAGGAAGGUGGGGAUGACGUCAAAUCAUCAUGCCCCUUAUGAUUUGGGCUACACACGUGCUACAAUGGAUAAUACAAAGGGCAGCGAAUCCGCGAGGCCAAGCAAAUCCCAUAAAAUUAUUCUCAGUUCGGAUUGUAGUCUGCAACUCGACUACAUGAAGCUGGAAUCGCUAGUAAUCGUAGAUCAGCAUGCUACGGUGAAUACGUUCCCGGGUCUUGUACACACCGCCCGUCACACCACGAGAGUUUGUAACACCCGAAGCCGGUGGAGUAAUC
RNAcentral lists this ribosomal RNA (1386 nucleotides) under Mammaliicoccus sciuri. RNAcentral describes it as "bacterial SSU rRNA". It matches the Rfam family "Bacterial small subunit ribosomal RNA", at positions 71 to 1440 of the family's 1533-position model. The record is from RNAcentral. Lineage: Bacteria; Bacillati; Bacillota; Bacilli; Caryophanales; Staphylococcaceae.